Molecule: long non-coding RNA, 482 nt
Filed under: Mus spretus (western wild mouse)
Lineage: Eukaryota; Metazoa; Chordata; Mammalia; Rodentia; Muridae
Description: lncRNA (ENSMSPG00010033258.1)
Source: RNAcentral
CCAGGCUCCACUUCAAAGGGCAAAGCCAACAGACCAUCCUAGAGGCAGUGGCUGCUCAACAAUGCACAGUGCCAACGAUCUAGGUUUGAAAGCAGAAUCUAGGUUUGAAAGCAGAAAGCUUCACCAUCAACCAAGGUCAUGACCGCUCGACAGGUUGUGAAAUCUGAAGUUGGGAAGAGGUGCCAGUCCCCAUUCUAAGAUGGUCCUGUAAAGUUCCAGGCUAGCCUGUGCUAUGACUGAGACCUUGCCUCAAAUGAACAAGCAAACAAAAGAGAACCCUGAAGCCCAUCUUCUCCCCCUUCCACCUUCCCAGGAGUUAGAAAAGAGGCCCUGCCUCAGAUAAGCCACCUGGGCUCACUCUGCAUGACAUAUGUCUGGGCUUUGGAGGAUGCCCUCUGACUACAUCACUGUGUGGAGGCUGCCCCAGGCCAUGACUGUACGCUCCACUCUUUACCAACUCAUGCCUGAAUUUCAUGGAGAUG